This 255-nucleotide ribosomal RNA is filed under the name uncultured bacterium. Its description in RNAcentral is "partial 16S ribosomal RNA". It matches the Rfam family "Bacterial small subunit ribosomal RNA", at positions 524 to 776 of the family's 1533-position model. The record is from RNAcentral.
UACGUAGGGGGGCAAGCGUUGUCCGGAUUUAUUGGGCGUAAAGAGCGUGUAGGCGGCCAAGCAGGUCCGCUGUGAAAACUCGAGGCUCAACCUCGAGACGUCGGUGGAAACCGUUUGGCUAGAGUCCGGAAGAGGAGAGUGGAAUUCCCGGUGUAGCGGUGAAAUGCGCAGAUAUCGGGAAGAACACCCGUGGCGAAGGCGGCUCUCUGGGACGGUACUGACGCUGAGACGCGAAAAGCGUGGGGAGCGAACAGG